ACCCCCUGGCAAUGGGCAAGGAGACACCUGAUUGCUGGUGUGGCUCUGAUAUCAGCCAGGGGCAGAGCAGAUGUACAGUCCUUAGUUCAUCCUAGCUUGAUGCCUAUGUUGGCCAGAGCUGUUUCAUGCCUCAGACACAUAA
This 142-nucleotide small nucleolar RNA is filed under the name Myotis brandtii (Brandt's bat). RNAcentral describes it as "Small nucleolar RNA SNORA48". It matches the Rfam family "Small nucleolar RNA SNORA48". From Rfam's summary of the family: The snoRNA ACA 48 has been identified to guide pseudouridylation of the residue U3797 in the 28S rRNA subunit. Its host gene EIF4A1 (eukaryotic translation initiation factor 4A1) is shared with U67 and snoRNA mgU6-77 Lineage: Eukaryota; Metazoa; Chordata; Mammalia; Chiroptera; Vespertilionidae. The record is from Rfam by way of RNAcentral.